CAACCACCAUGACUCUCAUCACCAUCCUCAUCUGGACGCUGGCCUGCUGCUGCCUCAAAGGAUCUAGUAGUGAACUGACUGUCACUCAACCAGCUGUUAUCACAUCUUCUCCUGGAGCCACAGUCACUCUGACCUGUAAAACCAACCCAAAAGUUAAGACAUGGUCAGAUGGAGAUAGUAGAGUACACUGGUAUCAGCAGAAAUCUGGAGAAGCUCCCAAGUUGGUCAUCAAACUGGGUAAAAAUCCUACAAGUGAGUUUUCUUCCAGAUUCUCUGGCAGAGGAGACGGAGUGAAUGCUGAGAUGACCAUCAGUAGAGUUCAGACUGAAGAUGCAGCAGUUUAUUACU
Molecule: non-coding RNA, 348 nt
Organism: Micropterus salmoides (largemouth bass)
Lineage: Eukaryota; Metazoa; Chordata; Actinopteri; Centrarchiformes; Centrarchidae
Source: the annotation of a RefSeq genome assembly